CCUACGGGAGGCUGCAGUGGGGAAUAUUGGACAAUGGGGGGAACCCUGAUCCAGCCAUGCCGCGUGUGUGAAGAAGGCCCUCGGGUUGUAAAGCACUUUCAGUGAGGAAGAACGCCUGGUGGUUAAUACCCAUCAGGAAAGACAUCACUCACAGAAGAAGCACCGGCUCAACUCCGUGCCAGCAGCCGCGGUAAUACGGAGGGUGCGAGCGUUAAUCGGAAUUACUGGGCGUAAAGCGCGCGUAGGUGGCUUGAUAAGCCGGUUGUGAAAGCCCCGGGCUCAACCUGGGAACGGCAUCCGGAACUGUCAAGCUAGAGUGCAGGAGAGGAAGGUAGAAUUCCCGGUGUAGCGGUGAAAUGCGUAGAGAUCGGGAGGAAUACCAGUGGCGAAGGCGGCCUUCUGGACUGACACUGACACUGAGGUGCGAAAGCGUGGGUAGCAAACAGGAUUAGAUACCCCAGGAGUC
This 466-nucleotide ribosomal RNA is filed under the name Vreelandella stevensii. Its description in RNAcentral is "partial 16S ribosomal RNA". It matches the Rfam family "Bacterial small subunit ribosomal RNA", at positions 338 to 795 of the family's 1533-position model. The record is from RNAcentral. Lineage: Bacteria; Pseudomonadati; Pseudomonadota; Gammaproteobacteria; Oceanospirillales; Halomonadaceae.